GGCGCGGGACGACCCGGCAGCUUUCCUGCUCGAUCGAUGGGGACGACCCCA
This is a regulatory RNA element of 51 nucleotides. It matches the Rfam family "Guanidine-II riboswitch aptamer (mini-ykkC)". Rfam says of the family: Simpler in structure and has fewer highly conserved nucleotide positions than the ykkC-yxkD leader. Despite this each of its two stem-loop structures directly bind free guanidine. The record is from Rfam.